ACUGGUGACGUGGUGAGUGGGUGAGUAGUAGCUACUGUAGUUCUAACCUUAUAAUUGUAAGUCUCUAAUAAAAAAAAGUAGUUUGAUAGUAUUUAGUUUGCUUGUUUGAGUAUUUGAAGUUCAACUAAGAUGCAAUAUUAAAAAAUGCUUACAAACCAGGAGCUAACUUACGUCACUGGUACCCUGGUACGUUACAGUUACAGGCUCAUAGUUCCUAGUUCCAAAAUGGCGGGCAACCUGUUCAGAUCGAUAGGGUUCAGACACAACUUAAAGGCUACACCACACUCUCCCUCAUCAUCAUUUUAUAUUGCAUUGAACCAUGCCUUGAACGGCAAUGAUAAGAUUUUAGGGCAGUCCGAAGCAGCUAUAAUAAUACCAGAAAUUGGAAGUUUUCAACUGCAUCCGUAUUCCGCGAAAAUGGGGAAAUGGGGUGUCGCAAUUUGAACGACAAGAUUUUGAACACUGGAAAGCAGAAGUUAUUAAAAGACAUUGGCGAAUGUAUCUUCUCUGAAAGAAGCUGGAAAAUUGAAGUAAUGUUCUGGCGCCUACGCCAAACGGUUAUAUCUGUUUUGGUUGCAGCAGUGCACAUAUUUCCUGUACAGAGUGUGCAAAUCCUGUUAAUGGUCCUGCUCCUAUGUCCCAUCCAACAACAAAAUAUGCAAAUUGGAAGUGGAAAACUAUUGGCAUUGGUGCUGUUUAGUUGUUUCCUCUAACCUGGCCAAGUUAGACGCAAAUUGAAAAGGUUGUAGAUGUUGAUCAAGAAAAUGUGAUCAACAUUUCAAGCAAGAAAACUUUCCUGGUUUUAGGUGGUUUGCGGUUGUGCUGGAAACGCCAUCUGUUGCCUCCGUGAUAGAAUGUGGUUACCUAAGCUUAAGGAAGAGCAUAAUAAGAACCUAAUUACGACAGAAUUGAAGACAGUCAGAAAAUAUGUACUGGUGUAAACUAUGAAUGCCUAUCUAUGGACUUCCUCAAGAGCAACGUUAGAUGCUGAGCCAAAAAUUAGUUAAUAUCUAGUUAUGAAGUAUGUUUAAACAAGGAAUAGCCACGCCCGAAAAACCCGUUGAGCUACACUUAUUCAAGAGAUAGCGAUGGCGUUGCGACUGUUUGUUAUCAAACGCCCAUACAUUCCGGUAUCCGAAGUUGUAGCAUAGCCCGCUCGAGUGCUUCACCGAAUUGCGGACCGGUCACAUGGCGUGUUAUCACUAGAUGGUGUUGAAUACCCCGUAGUAGAUGGCGUUGACAUACACCGCAGUAGAUGGCGUUGACAUACACCGCAGUAGAUGGCAUUGACAUACACCGCAGUAGAUGGCGUUGACAUACACCGCAGUAGAUGGCGUUUCAUACACCGCAGUAGAUGGCGUUGACAUAUACCGCAGUAAAUGGUGUUUGAAACGGCGGUGUGUCAUGUUAGUGAAGGGGCUCUCCGCCUAUUCUCUUUUAAAUUCCAGACCGAGCAGCCGCAAACGCCAUCUCUGGAGCUUAACAAGUGAUGGUCGAAGCUCUGCAAUUCAAAAGGUAAACCCGUUACCACUCCUGGUAUACUUCAUGGGACGAGUAGUAGUAGUAAGUAGUCGUUUUUAAUUUCAUCUGUCAUGUUUUUGUUCGUUGACGGAAGUACAAAAUUGGUCUGCUUCCUGCUAUUCCCUUCCUCUAUAUUCCAGAGUGACAACCCGCAUCGCCAUCUAUAGACCUUGACAUGCAUAGCUCAAGUUGUUUUGCAGGUGUUAAUAAUUCCUGGAAUACUUCAUUGUUGUAGUUAACUGUUACAGGCGUCACCUUCCGGAAUUUGACAUGUUUUUGGUUGCCAGUAUAGUAAACACCAGUUGAACUGAUCAUAACUUUGUUUUUGUUGAAAACUGGGCAUUUUAUUUCAGCAUUCUGGGGCAAGUUAUACAGUUAAGUAACUUUUUAUUGUUUAUGAAGUCUAUAUCUCCCUAGUUGAUUUAGAGAAACAUUACUUGUUUUGUAGAAUAACAUUUACUUUUGCAUUUUAUUCCAGAUUGCUGCCAAUUUUUCCUAGCUGAUCAUUAAAUUUGUCAUGUGGCUACAUAGCUUGGUUUACAUGUUCCAGGAGUUGAUAGCAGAAAGAAGUGUCGAAGUUUUGAGGUAAGCCACUUACUUGAAAGUUCCGAUUGUUAUCAGCUAUGCCAGCUGCUCAGCUAUGAAAUUGUAGGCUAUCUAUACUUUUGCUUUUUAUCAUGCCAUUUACUCAUGUAAAAGGCUUGUUGUACUUAAUGCUGGAGCUUGAAUGCUUGAUAUUGAAGCUUGAAUGUCAACAGUAAGACUGAUUUGGUUUUCAUCUAAUUAGUGUUAUCAGACAUUGAUCAUCAAUGUUUCAUGUAAACAAUCUUCUCUAUUUCGCAUGCAAGAAAAAAUUUCUUUAGCAUCACUGCAUUACGGUGAACCAUGAGCGGGAGUGUGACUAGUUCAACUUCGUGUUCCAACUUUCACCGUCACCUUCAUCUUUGUGACUAAACCGACCAACAUUCACCUACCUGAACGUCAUCGCUUCAUUAUGGUAUUAUAGAUUGUUACCUAAUAGAUUGCCAAUGGUUAACAAAUAAUUCCUGAUCUUCCCCUUUUCUUCCACCUCAUCAUCUUCAUCUCAUCGUCUUCAAGCUGGUCGUCUUUGCCUCACAGCUUUUAACCUGGUUGUCUUCGCCUCACCACCUUUAACCUGGUCGUCUUCGCCUCACCACCUUUAACCUGGUCGUCUUCGCCUUGCCGUUUUCGCCAGACCUUCUCCAUCUCGUCGAUUUGUCGCAUCGUCUUGUCGCAUCGUCUUGGAUCUCGCCUGUCUUCGCCUCAUCGCUGUCGUCGUGGAGCCUCGUGUUUUUGGUAUUGUUUUGUUUUGUAUUGUUGUAUAGUGUAUGUUGUAAGUUAACCCGUUGGCUGCCACCCAUUUUGCUCCCCCUCUUUUUUUUUAGUUGUAGGGACCGGCGGCGCUGUUCUACCCCAUGGCUGAUCGACCAUGGGGUGGGGCAGUCGCCUUGCGCCUUAGGGCGCCGUAGGCAAUGCACCAGUAGGGACUUCCCCUUGUCGAUGCGAUGGUGGAGUACCUGGGGUGUGCAUUCCCGUAAAGGUCUCCAUUGUCAAGUCAGCCCGGACUUGUCUUCGGACAAGUCCCCCUUUCAUCGAAUCCCUCAGAAACGAUGCGUAGCGACUGUAGUAGAACAACCUACGGGUUGUAAUGGCUUGGCAGCCAACGGGUUAACUUAGUGUUUGUGUAUAUGUGUAUGUAUUGUAUAACUUGUAAUGUAUUGAAUAACAUGUUAUGUAAAAUAGUGGUGGAAUUGUGGGUGGAGGUGGGAUAAUACAAAAUCAAUUCCUUUUA
This 3334-nucleotide long non-coding RNA is filed under the name Daphnia magna. RNAcentral's name for it is "uncharacterized LOC116925636, transcript variant X5". The record is from RNAcentral. Lineage: Eukaryota; Metazoa; Arthropoda; Branchiopoda; Diplostraca; Daphniidae.